GUAAUUUUUGUAUAUGCAUUAGUUUUUUUCAGAAGAGAUUAUGCUGUUUUGUUUUGUUUUUUUGUUUUUUUUUUUUGUCAAAUGACUUUUGAAGAAGAACGCAAUCCUUUUGAACAUUACUGGAUGCCCCCUCCUGGAGAGAGAAAUCUUUAGUCUCCGCAGAACACUUGCAGCAAAAAGCUAUGACGACACAAGUUAACCUACAGUGCUUUGCCACUGCACCCUGGACCAGACUGCAGUGGUUGGUCUCCUAAUUUCUGCUUAGACAUCUAAGCUGUGGAGAUUCGAUAUCGCCUACUGCGACUUAGAUCUGGGUCCAUUGAGCUCUGACAUACCCCAAGAAAUGAAAGCUGGACUUAAAAAGGCUGAAAUGAAUCAGAUUAUCCCCAAUGAAGUCAUGUUUUCAUGGGGUUAUUUAUGUUCUGCGUUCUAUGAGUGGCGUGUGCGAACAAACAUAACCAGUAAGAGUCUCUUAAGAAAGGUAAGUAUGAAUAUUCCGUAUUCAUUACUUCUCAUCUCAGUUGCAAGGCACUGUGUCAGCUUCCUGAUCAGAUGAUGAGCAUCUUACGUAAGUCUAUUUUACAUUCA
RNAcentral lists this long non-coding RNA (588 nucleotides) under Dromaius novaehollandiae (emu). RNAcentral's name for it is "lncRNA (ENSDNVG00000014181.1)". Lineage: Eukaryota; Metazoa; Chordata; Aves; Casuariiformes; Dromaiidae. The record is from RNAcentral.